This 322-nucleotide ribosomal RNA is filed under the name uncultured Cercomonas. RNAcentral's name for it is "SSU rRNA". The stretch from base 112 to 322 matches the Rfam family "Eukaryotic small subunit ribosomal RNA", at positions 744 to 955 of the family's 1831-position model. Lineage: Eukaryota; Cercozoa; Cercomonadida; Cercomonadidae. The record is from RNAcentral.
GAUUUCUGGCUUGAAACAUCUGGCCGGCCACGGUUUCGUGUGUUAGUGCUUGAUGUUCUGGCCAUCCUUCCAAUCGCUAUUGGCUAUUCUUCAUUGAAUGGUCAGUAGUAUUGGAUCUUUUACUUUGAAAAAAUUAGAGUGUUUCAAGCAGGCUUUAUGCUAUGAAUACAUUAGCAUGGAAUAAUAAUUUAGGACUUCGGUUCUAUUUUGUUGGUUUCUAGGACUGAAGUAAUGAUUGAUAGGGAUAGUUGGGGGUGCUAGUAUUCAGCGGCCAGAGGUGAAAUUCUCGGAUUCGCUGAAGACUAACUUAUGCGAAAGCAUU